Non-coding RNA from Paramuricea clavata, 136 nucleotides. The record is from the annotation of a GenBank genome assembly. Lineage: Eukaryota; Metazoa; Cnidaria; Anthozoa; Malacalcyonacea; Plexauridae.
GGGGGGGGGGGGGGGGGCGAAGACGAGAGAAAAAGAGCGAGCAAAACUGGAGGGCGAGAGGCUAUUUAUUUCUCGCUCCUCGCAUUUUUCCUUGCUCUCUUUCUCUCGUCUCUCCUCCCCCCCCCUAGCUUCUCCC